AUUGAACGCUGGCGGCAGGCUUAACACAUGCAAGUCGAGCGGGGUGAUGGUGCUUGCACUAUCACUUAGCGGCGGACGGGUGAGUAAUGCUUAGGAAUCUGCCUAUUAGUGGGGGACAACAUCUCGAAAGGGAUGCUAAUACCGCAAACGUCCUACGGGAGAAAGCAGGGGAUCACUUGUGACCUUGCGCUAACAGAUGAGCCUCAGUCGGAUUAGCAGGUUGGUGGGGUAAAGGCCCACCAAGGCGACGAUCUGUAGAGGGUCUGGGAGGAUGAUCCGCCACACUGGGACUGAGACACGGCCCAGACUCCUACGAGAGGCAGCAGUGGGGAAUAUUGGACAAUGGGGGGAACCCUGAAGCAGCGAUGCCGCGUGAGGGACGAAGGUCUUCGGAUUGUAAACCUCUUUUGCGGGGGAAAAAUUCCUGAGUGAAUAACUCAGGUUGAUGGUACUCCGCGAAUAAGCCACGGCUAACUUCGUGCCAGCCGCCGCCGUAA
This 497-nucleotide ribosomal RNA is filed under the name uncultured bacterium. RNAcentral's name for it is "partial 16S ribosomal RNA". It matches the Rfam family "Bacterial small subunit ribosomal RNA", at positions 30 to 523 of the family's 1533-position model. The record is from RNAcentral.